This 143-nucleotide small RNA is filed under the name Priestia koreensis. RNAcentral describes it as "Bacillus koreensis c-di-AMP sequence". It matches the Rfam family "c-di-AMP riboswitch aptamer (ydaO/yuaA leader)". Rfam says of the family: This family represents a conserved RNA structure found upstream of the ydaO and yuaA genes in Bacillus subtilis and related genes in other bacteria. The ydaO/yuaA element is thought to act as a genetic "off" switch for the ydaO and yuaA genes in its native state. Lineage: Bacteria; Bacillati; Bacillota; Bacilli; Caryophanales; Bacillaceae. The record is from Rfam by way of RNAcentral.
ACAGCCUGAGCGCUGAGUUCUUUUUAGAAACGGGGGACCCAUUUUUUGUGAGAUUAACACUUGGGGUGAAUCCUUUUUUGAGGUAGGGUUACUCUUAUGACCCGAAUCCGACAGCUAACUCCGUAAGCGUGGUGAGAGAAGGU